GCCAGCAGCCAUAUCACCCUGCAACUCACAGCUGGCAGCCCACUGAAGCCCAGCAGGUCUGAGCCUGGUCAGUACCUGGAUGGGAGACUCCUGGGAAAACUAAGGUUACUGCUGGAA
Molecule: ribosomal RNA, 117 nt
Filed under: Lepisosteus oculatus (spotted gar)
Lineage: Eukaryota; Metazoa; Chordata; Actinopteri; Semionotiformes; Lepisosteidae
Source: RNAcentral